AACUAACGCUGGCGGCGCGCCGAAUACAUGCAAGUCGAACGAUGUAGCAAUACAUAGUGGCGCACGGGAGAGUAACACGUGGAUAAUCUCCCCUCGAGAGAAGAAUAACUAGUCGAAAGAUUGGCUAAUACUUCGUAAGACCACAGAAACAAAUGUUUCAGGGGUAAAAGUCGUAAGACGCUUGAGGAUGAGUCUGCGUCCCAUUAGCUAGUUGGUGAGGUAAUGGCACACCAAGGCUUCGAUGGGUAGCUGGUCUGAGAGGAUGAUCAGCCUCACUGGAACUGACACACGGUCCAGACUCCUACGGGAGGCAGCAGUAGGGAAUAUUGCACAAUGGAGGAAACUCUGAUGCAGCGACGCCGCGUGAGUGAUGAAGGACUUCGGUUUGUAAAGCUCUGUUGUCAGGGAAUAAAAAAAUGAAUGUACCUGACGAGAAAGGACCGGCUAAACUCGUUGCCAGCAGCCGCGGUAAU
RNAcentral lists this ribosomal RNA (473 nucleotides) under uncultured bacterium. RNAcentral describes it as "bacterial SSU rRNA". It matches the Rfam family "Bacterial small subunit ribosomal RNA", at positions 29 to 524 of the family's 1533-position model. The record is from RNAcentral.